AUUUUAAACUAGGGGAGCCAAUGCGCUGAGAGUAGGUUUCUGAAAUGUUCCUUGACCCUUGACCUGAUGUAGUUAGUACUACCGUAGGGAUGUUUACAAUUUUGUUU
RNAcentral lists this non-coding RNA (107 nucleotides) under Globicatella sp. RNAcentral describes it as "TPP sequence". It matches the Rfam family "TPP riboswitch aptamer (THI element)". Rfam says of the family: Vitamin B(1) in its active form thiamin pyrophosphate (TPP) is an essential coenzyme that is synthesised by coupling of pyrimidine and thiazole moieties in bacteria. The previously detected thiamin-regulatory element, thi box was extended, resulting in a new, highly conserved RNA secondary structure, the THI element, which is widely distributed in eubacteria and also occurs in some archaea. RNAcentral also lists the same sequence under 1 other name. Lineage: Bacteria; Bacillati; Bacillota; Bacilli; Lactobacillales; Aerococcaceae. The record is from RNAcentral.